Molecule: long non-coding RNA, 3542 nt
Organism: Canis lupus familiaris (dog)
Lineage: Eukaryota; Metazoa; Chordata; Mammalia; Carnivora; Canidae
Exons: 7
Source: RefSeq, a predicted model, not a curated record
CAUGGGUGGGUAGAUCUAGGACCAGCCCCUCCACCUCCAACCCACUUGAGAGCAGCUUCAUUUGGACCAAUCUUAGGUCACCAGAAUUUCCUGAGGUGUUACUAGGUCACAGCUUCAGAUCCUCUGAGGACAGGAGCCAGACUGGUUGAUUUGUUAACUGCACUGUGUUGCUCUCUUGUCCCACAAGUGGAAGGUCCCAGGAAUCUCUCCUUUUGCAAGCAUCUCCCUGGAAGGAGUGUGGGGAGGCUGGGAAGCUUGAAGUCCUCAGCCUGCCUUUGAAAUAUCUCAUAGUAUUGCCAAGGGACAUGGCACGGGCACAUUUACCCAAAGGGUGGGGGCAGGAGUCACCCAAAGUGUCUGCCCACCUAGGCUUCAGUGGCCCCAAACAUUCUCAUGGGGUCAAUAGCUAUAUAUCAUUGUAGGGCAGCCUCUUAAUUAUAGAUUCAUUUCAUUUUAAGAACUUUUUGAAAACAAAGUGAAACUUUCUUGUGCAUCUUGUGAGAGAGACAUUCUGUGGCAGAUAUAAGUCAGGUAAAAGGCAGUCUGUUCCCACAGAGCUGAGACUCAGGAGGAGGGCCAGCCAGGAUUCAGGGUGAAUGACCAAGUGCUAGGGUCUGUGGGGAUGCUGGUGUGAUGCCCUCAGGAGCUGACAGCAGAUUGCCCCAGCUUGACGGUGAGCCCCUGAGCAGUCGGAAGAUUCCUAUAAAAAUCGUAGUCAUUGUAAAGGAAAACAAACACAGCAAAGCUCAAAGAAGAAAGUCAAUUUCGGUUGAGAUCCAGCCCUCCAGAAACAACUGGCCACAUUUGCUGCAAUGGCUGUCUGGAUGAGAACAGCUCUGUGCAACCCUGUAGGUGGAUUCCUUCAUUGAAUCUUCACAAGGACUCUGAGCAAAUCAUUUGAGGACCUCCCCCACUCUCCCCAGGAUGACGCAGCUGCAGUGGUGGGAGGAGGACCUCGGAGCCUCCAGCCCAACCAGUUGCCCAGGCUGUGCGCCCAGCCAUUGAAGCUCCUAAGAAGCCAGGUCCUGCUUACCCUGCUGAUUUGUGGAAAGAACACGAAAUCCCCCAUCACUGGCCUCUAGUUUGAGGAAAGAAGGGGAAACUUGAUUUAAGGGGCCUGCCGACCACAUCAACAACGCACACUAAGCUCUCGAAAGGGGAGCAGGCUUCCUGUAUCUCUAAUCCGUUAUCGACAUGUACUACUCUCGAAGUUGCCCCGAGAACUUGAUCCAUCUCUUGGUCUCCAACACCAGAGCAAGGGGUGUGGGCAGUAACUUGCAAAGGCCUUAGAAGAAGCAAGGAAUACUCACACGAACCCCCACCCAUCAGCUUGUUUCUGGAAUGCUCCAGAGAAAGAAGAGGGAGGAGCACUGCCCGACAGGACCAGUUAGGGGACAGUUCUACCAUGAUGCCAAUGAACUGCUUCUGGAGGCAGAGGCAUAUGCAGAGCUGCUUCAAGUGGUCAUGGCAUCACUGACCUGGGAGCCACUGUCCCACGAGCACUCCCUGGAGUCGUGGGAAGCAGCUGCUCCAUCUCAGUGCGACAAGCCCAGGAUCCCUGCUGGCAAAGUUGAUGAGAGGCGAAUCUCGGCCUUGCCUUCUGACUUCGCUCACAGGUUCUGCUCAGCCUCACUCUCACCUGCACUGCCUUCUGCUUACCCUCCUCCUGGUGGUGUCUGGAUGGCCUCUCCAGUGCUUUUUUGGUGAACCUUAUAGUUUAAGUAACAUGCAUAGGGAACCGUGUGUGCAGUGUGCUAAAUUACUGCGGAGGCAGCACACCUAGAUAAAAACGUUGAGACUUACCAUUACCCAGUAUGCUCCCUUCGUGUCUCCUCCCAAACAUCACCUCCUCCAGAGGUUACCACCAGUCCUAACUUCCCUCACAACAGAUUUAUGUUGCCUGCUUUAUUAUACUCUGGAUAACUGGAACCGUACAGUAUGUAGUCUUUUGAGCUUGGCUUCUUCCGCUUAAUACUCUGUGAGAUUCCUCUGCGUUGUUGACAGUUCUGUCUUUUCCAUCGCUGUCUAGAGCUCCAUUGCAUAAAUUUCUCAUGCAGUCUACUUACUCAUUCAUCCAUUCUCCCUCAAUGGACAUUUGCAUUCUUUUCAGUUUUUGACUAUCAUGAAUAACGGUGCCAUAAGCAUACAUUUUGGCAAAUAUAUGUAGGCAUCUCUGUUGAGUAUGUGUCUGAGACUGGAAUUGUUGGGUCACAAAGUAUGCUUACCCUCAGCUUCAGUGAAUGUUGCCUAAAUGGUUGUUCAGACAGUUGAGCAAAUUAUACUCCACUAGAAGUAUAUGAGCAUUCCUUUGCAGAACGUCCUCACCACCACUUGGUAGUAUUACUUUUAGACUGUGUGUAGCAGUAUCUCAUUGUGGCUUCAAUUUGCAUUUCUCUGAUGAUUAAGCCUUUGUGUGCCUUUUUAGAUGUGUGUUGGCCAUUUGGAUAUCUCCUUUUGUGAAGCUCUUGUUUACAUUAUUUUUAAGUUGAGUUGUUAAAGUUCAUCUGGUCCUAAGAUUUUCUAUGUGUGUCCUGGAUAGGAGUCCUUUGCCAGGUAUGUUUGCUACAACUACCUUCUCCUACUGUGUGGUUCCCUUUUUCACUUUUUGGUUUCUUACAGAAACUUUAUUGUUUUACCUUUCCCACUUGGGUUUACUACUGGAAUUGUUGAGUUUAUUUCUGGAAUCUCAGUUCUAGUCCAUUGAUCAUUCUGUCUAUAUGUCUAUCUCUAUACCAGUACCACAUUGUCUUGAAUGCUAUAUCUUUUUGUAGGGUUAUGUAGAUUUUGAAAUCUGAAAGUGUGAGCGCUCCAAACUUGUCCUUCUUUUUCAAGACUGUGUUGGCUACUUAGGAUCUUUUUGUAGUUCCUGAUGAAUAUGAGGAUUGAUUUGUCUAUUUCUGGAAUAAGGGAGUUGGAAUUUUGAUAGGAGUCUCAUUGAAUCUGUAAAUGAACUUGGGGAACAUUGCUGUGUUAACAACAUUAGGUCUUACUAUCUAUGAACACAGGAUACCUUUUCUUUUCUUUUUUUUUUUUCAGGAUACCUUUUCUUAUUUAGAUCUUUACUUUUGUCCAAGAAAGUAUUAUAGUUUUCUAAGUUCAAGUUUUCUGGGGUUUGGUUAUUUUUUCUUUUAUAGUUUUCUUUUAAUAUUAUUGUAAAUAGGAUUGCUUUCUUAAUUUCAUUUUUGAAUUGUUCAUUGCUAGUAUAUAAAAAUACUGCUUUUUUGAGGACCAAUUGUGUAUCCUAUAACUUCACCAAACUUGUUCAGUAGCUUUAGCUUUUGCUGUUGAUUCUUUAGGAUUUAUGUAAGAUCAUGUCACCUGCAGAUAGAUACAGUUUUCCUUCUUUUCCAGUUGGAUACCUUUUAUUUCUUUUCUUUAUAAGAUUUAGUUUAUUUUCUUGACUCAAGGCAUCCUGGAUUAUUGUAAGCCAUUGGUUAAUUUCCAGAGUUCAGAAAAAGUUGAUUUUGAGGAAUUUUGCUAGUGUUUUGAUAGCUUUUAUGGAAGGGCAAACUUUUGAGGUUCUUACUCCUCCAUUUUUGUGG